GAACCUUUGGGUGGUUGCCCAGAAGCAGUCAGCACUGAGGCGAGCUAACCUCACAUCUAAUGGUGAAAGACAAUGCUGUCCCUGUGAGAUCAGGAAGAAGGCAAGGAUGUCCACUCACCGCUUACUCAACUGAGCACUGGAAAUUCUAGCCAGGGCUAUAAGGGUCUCUCUCUGUCACCUAGGCUGGAGUGCAGUGCUCUGAUCAUGGCUCACUGCAACUUUGACCACUUGGGCUCAAGGGAUCCUCAUACCUCAUCUUCCCUAGUAGCUGGGACUACAGCUCCGUUACACUAUACCUGGCUAAUUUUUAAUUUUUUUAUAGAGGCAGGGUCUUGCUAUGUUGCCUAGGCUAGUCUUGAACUUUUGGCCCCAAGUGAUCCUUCUGCCUCAGCCUCCCAAAGUGCUGGGAUUACAGGCAUGAGCCACCAAGCCCUGCCAGGAUCGCAUGUUUACUAGUACAUAAUUCUGAUCAAAGAAAUAAAAGAAGAUCUAAAUACAUGGAGAAAUAUAUUUUGUUCAUUUACUGGAAGGCUCAACAUAGUAAAGAUGUCAUUUUCCCCUAAAUUGAUGCACUAGUUUAACCCAAUUCCUAUCAAAAUCUCAGCAAGAUUUUUUUUUUGUAAAUAUGAACAAGACUAUUCUAAAAUUUAUUUGGAAAGACAAGAGGACUUGAAUAGCUAAAACAAAUUUGAAAAAGAAGAAUAAAGUGGAAGGAGUCAAUCUAUAUGAUUUCAAGACUUAUUAUAUCGCUGUCAUGAUCAACAUUGUGUUGCAGUGGUGAAGGAAAGACAUACAGAUCGAUAACCCAGACACAGACUUGCACAAAUAUGCCCAACGGAUUUGGCAAAUGUACAAAAGCAAUUCAAUGGGUAAAAGAUAGCCUUUCAGCAAAUGGUGCCAGAGCAAUUAGCCAUUCAUAAGGCAAACAAGUUGAACCUUGAACAAAAUCUCACACCUUAUGCAAAAAUUAGCUAAAAAUGGAUCAUGAACCUAGAUGUAAACUAUGAAACUUAGGAAAAAACCUAGGACAAAAGCUUUGAGAUAUAGGGCCAGGCAAAGAGCUCUUAGACUUUGUUUCAAGAAGCAUAAUCCAUAAAAGGAAAAAUGGACUAGUUGGGCUUCAUCAAAAUAAAAACUUUUUCUCAGCAAAAGACCCAGUUAAGAAGCUGAAAAUAUAAAUUACAGAGUGGGAAAGAAUAUUUGCAAACCACGUAUUUGACAAAGGAGUAGUAUCUAGAAUAUAUAAAGAAUGCUCAAAAUUCAAUAGUAAAAAAGCAAGUCAUUCAACUAGAACAUGGCAUGAAUGAGUGAAAAGGCAUGAACAGACAUUUCCCCAAGGAAGAUAUACAGAUGGCAAAUAAACACAUGAAAAGAUGUUCAAUUUGGCUAUCCAUCAGGGGAAUGCAAAUUAAAAUCAUAAUAAGAUAUUCUUAAAUAUCUGUCAGGAUGGCUAAAAUAGGGAAAAAUUGACUAUAACAAAAGCUGGUGAGAAGGUGUCCAAACAGAAUUCCUCAUACACUGCUGGAGGGAAUAUAAAAUAUUAUAGCCAUUGUAGAAAAUAUGUUAGUAGUUUCUUAAAAAAAAAAAACUUUCAAUUACCAUAGGACCUGGCAAUUGCACUCCUGAGCAUUUAUCCCAGAGAAAUGAAUACUUGUGUUCACACAGAAACCUGCAUACGAAAGUUUAUAGCAGCUUUAUUUGUAAUAGAAACUGAAAACACCUAGACAUCCUUGAACAGUCUAUGGUUUAGCAAACUGUAGCACACCCAAACCAUGGAAUACUACUCAGCAAUAAAACUAUUGAUGUGCGUGGCAACCCGCAUGAAUUUCCAGAGAAUAUCAUGGAAUGAAGAAAGCCAGCCCCGAAAGAAACAAAGCAAGGAUGCUCACUCUCACCCCUUUUAUUCAGCUUAGUGCUGGAAAUUCUAGCCAGGGCUAUAAGGUAAGAAAAGGAAUGAAAAGACAUACAGAUUGGAAAGAAAUAAAUGUAGCUAUUCCUGUUUCCAAAUGAUAUCAUCUAUGUAGAAUAUUCCAAGGAAUCUAAAAAAAGUCUCCUAGAACUAGUAAAUGAGUUCAGCAAGGUUGAAGGACACAAAAGAAACAUCUGUACAAAACAUCUGUACAAAAGAAACAUGCUGUAUGAUUCCAUUUAUGUAAUUGUAUUAGUCUGUUUUCACACUGUUGUAAAGAAAUACUGGAGACUGGGUAAUUUGUAAAGGAAAGAGGUUUAAUUGACUUGCAGUUCCAUCUGGCUGGGGAAGCCUCAGGAAACUUACAAUCAUGAUGGAAAGUGAACGGGAAGCAAGCACCUUCUUCACAAGUCGGCAGGAGAGAGAAGAGAGCAUGUGAAGGAGGAACUGUCAAACACUUACAAAACCAUCAGAUCUCAUGAGCACUCACUCAGUAUCACUAGAGCAGCAUGGGGGAAACCACCUCCAUGAUCCAAUUACCUCCUACCAGGUCCCUCCCUCGACACGUGGGGAUUAUCAGGAUUACAAUUUGAGAUGAGAUUUGGGUGGGGACACAGAGCCAAACCGUAUCAGUAACAAAAUUCUAGAAAUGGAGAACAAAUCAGUGACUGCCAGGUGUUAAAGAGGGGUGGGCAGGGGCGAGAAGUGGGUGUGGCUAUGAAAGGGUUGCGGGAGGGACUCUGUGGAGGCAGAAUGUUCUGUAUCCUGGCUGUACCCAUGUCAAUAUCCUGUUUGUUAUAUCGCACUACAGUUCUGCAAGAUGCUACCACUGGGGGAAACUGAG
RNAcentral lists this long non-coding RNA (2753 nucleotides) under Homo sapiens (human). Its description in RNAcentral is "HSALNT0001034". The record is from RNAcentral. Lineage: Eukaryota; Metazoa; Chordata; Mammalia; Primates; Hominidae.